CAUCUGAAGAAAAGGGCUCGGGCAAGACCGGUGCCAGCCGCCGCGGUAAUACCGGCGACUCGAGUGGUGACCACUUUUAUUGGGCUUAAAGGGUUCGUAGCUGGACUGNUAAGUCUCUUGGGAAAUCUGCCGGCUUAACCGNCGGGCGUCUAAGGGAUACUGUUGAUCUUGGAACCGGGAGAGGUGAGAGGUACUUCGGGGGUAGGAGUGAAAUCCUGUAAUCCUCGGGGGACCACCU
RNAcentral lists this ribosomal RNA (238 nucleotides) under uncultured archaeon. Its description in RNAcentral is "partial 16S ribosomal RNA". It matches the Rfam family "Archaeal small subunit ribosomal RNA", at positions 425 to 662 of the family's 1478-position model. The record is from RNAcentral.